RNAcentral lists this small nucleolar RNA (116 nucleotides) under Jaculus jaculus (lesser Egyptian jerboa). Lineage: Eukaryota; Metazoa; Chordata; Mammalia; Rodentia; Dipodidae. The record is from RNAcentral.
UUACACAAACUUAUAACAUUAAAAAUCUGAAUUAUCUGAUGUGCUAAACCAACCAUGGAGGUAAAUUAACAGCAUGUCUUGAUUUAGUCAUUGCUGUCAGUCAUUUUCAGACAAGU